GUAAGGGGAGGUCUUACUUUUCUCCUCCCGACGCCUGCCCCGACUUUGGGCUCCUGAAUCUCAGGUGACCCCUGUGAAAGGGAUCAAGACACACAGGUUGAGAACUGCUGGUCUAGAUCCUUGACUGCCUUCGUGUUGGCUUGAACACCUGAUAUGCUUGGGGCCAUUCUUGAGAGCUGAGCUUUUCUGGUUCCUACAGUGUUUACUCUCAACUUUCAGAGAAACUAAACCAGGCCCACAACUUUCAUGACAAAGGUAUGAAGUAAAGCAAAGGCUGAGAUGCGCUAUCAUUCCCAGAGGCUCUCUGGCUUCAUCCCAGGCAUCCCUGAAAGGCCUCCUCUGUAUCUGCUUGUGAACAGAACAUCAGAGACAUUUCCUAAGGAAUCUUCACAGGCCACUCAUGAAACAGCAGUCUGUAUGCAGGUGUUGUGCAAGAUGCCAGCAGAAGCCAUUGAGCUUGCUUCAUCCCUCCCUCCACAUAUGUGCCCAACCAUGGGUGACACAAGCUAAAGUCAUCCAAGAGGAGAGAUGGAUGACUCCACAAGAAAGUGCCACAAGAAGAUUGGGCUGUAGGCAAGUCUAUAAGGCAUUUUCUUAGUUUAAUUAGUGACUGGUGUGGAAGGGACCAGUGCAUUAUGAGUGGUGCCACCUUUGGGCAGGUGGUCCUGUGACUAUGAGAAAGUAGACUGAGCAAGCCACAAGGGACAAGACAGGAAACAGCACUCUUCCAUCACCUCUGCAUCAGCUCCUGGCUUCAAGAUCCUGCCAUGCUAGAGUUCCUGUCCUGACUUUCUUCAGUAAUGGACUGUGAUGUGGAAGUGUAAGCCAAACAAACCCUUUCCUCCUCAACUUGCUUAUGAUCAUGGCGUUUCAUUACAGCGAUGGAAACCCUAACUAAGACACC
Molecule: long non-coding RNA, 904 nt
Filed under: Mus musculus (house mouse)
Lineage: Eukaryota; Metazoa; Chordata; Mammalia; Rodentia; Muridae
Description: predicted gene, 33321
Source: RNAcentral